This 72-nucleotide transfer RNA is filed under the name Microcaldota archaeon. RNAcentral describes it as "tRNA-Val". It matches the Rfam family "tRNA". Rfam says of the family: Transfer RNA (tRNA) molecules are approximately 80 nucleotides in length. Their secondary structure includes four short double-helical elements and three loops (D, anti-codon, and T loops). Lineage: Archaea; Nanobdellati; Microcaldota. The record is from RNAcentral.
GGACCCGUGGUCCAAUGGUCAAGACGCCAGCCUUACACGCUGGAGAACCUGGUCCGAUUCCGGGCGGGUCCA